CAGUCGCCGCGGUAAUACAGAGGGUGCAAGCGUUAAUCGGAAUUACUGGGCGUAAAGCGCGCGUAGGUGGUUUGUUAAGUUGGAUGUGAAAUCCCCGGGCUCAACCUGGGAACUGCAUCCAAAACUGGCAAGCUAGAGUAUGGUAGAGGGUGGUGGAAUUUCCUGUGUAGCGGUGAAAUGCGUAGAUAUAGGAAGGAACACCAGUGGCGAAGGCGACCACCUGGACUGAUACUGACACUGAGGUGCGAAAGCGUGGGGAGCAAACAGGAUUAGAUACCCCCGUAGUCCCUGUCUCUUAUAU
Molecule: ribosomal RNA, 301 nt
Filed under: uncultured bacterium
Lineage: Bacteria
Description: partial 16S ribosomal RNA
Rfam family: Bacterial small subunit ribosomal RNA
Source: RNAcentral